Molecule: ribosomal RNA, 251 nt
Filed under: uncultured prokaryote
Description: partial 16S rRNA
Rfam family: Bacterial small subunit ribosomal RNA
Source: RNAcentral
ACGGAGGGUGCAAGCGUUAAUCGGAAUUACUGGGCGUAAAGCGCACGCAGGCGGUUUGUUAAGUCAGAUGUGAAAUCCCCGCGCUUAACUGGGGAACUGGCUUUGAAACUUGCAAGCUAGAGGCUUGUAGAGGGGGGUAGAAUUCCAGGGGUAGCGGUGAAAUGCGUAGAGAUCGGGAGGAAUACCGGUGGCGAAGGCGGCCACCUGGACCAAAACUGACGCUCAGGUGCGAAAGCGUGGGGAGCAAACAG